Molecule: transfer RNA, 83 nt
Filed under: Candidatus Methylacidiphilum fumarolicum
Lineage: Bacteria; Pseudomonadati; Verrucomicrobiota; Methylacidiphilae; Methylacidiphilales; Methylacidiphilaceae
Also listed under: 1 other name
Description: tRNA-Tyr
Rfam family: tRNA
About the family: Transfer RNA (tRNA) molecules are approximately 80 nucleotides in length. Their secondary structure includes four short double-helical elements and three loops (D, anti-codon, and T loops).
Source: RNAcentral
GGGCAGAUACCCAAGUGGCCAACGGGGGCAGACUGUAAAUCUGCUGGCUUAUGCCUUCGCUGGUUCGAAUCCAGCUCUGCCCA